Molecule: unclassified non-coding RNA, 272 nt
Filed under: Hevea brasiliensis (rubber tree)
Lineage: Eukaryota; Viridiplantae; Streptophyta; Magnoliopsida; Malpighiales; Euphorbiaceae
Source: RNAcentral
GGCUAGCUGCCUGUGCAAUAGCUGUGAGUGUUAAUGGUUAAUGUUUUUAACCUUUUCAUUUCCCAAGUUGUUAUAACAACUAAAAAUUCUCAUGCUGUUCCUGCAUUUUUGGAAUUAUUUCAACAUCGAUGUUGUUCCUGAAAAUUUUAGGAAGUUAUCUGUUUGGACAUAAUUGUGCAGAAUGUGCAUCUCCUUUUUCUGCCUUUUAUACCUUUUCAUUGAUUCCAGAUGUUAAUUAUCUGUUUCAGGCUACGAUAUGCACAAUAGCUGCA